Molecule: unclassified non-coding RNA, 309 nt
Filed under: plant metagenome
Description: partial contains 5.8S ribosomal RNA, internal transcribed spacer 2, and large subunit ribosomal RNA
Rfam family: 5.8S ribosomal RNA (bases 1-105)
Source: RNAcentral
GAAAUGCGAUAAGUAGUGUGAAUUGCAAAAUUCAGUGAAUCAUCGAAUCUUUGAACGCACAUUGCGCCCCUUGGUAUUCCAUGGGGCAUGCCUGUUCGAGCGUCAUUUGUACCCUCAAGCUCUGCUUGGUGUUGGGUGUUUGUCCCGUCUCCGCGCGUGGACUCGCCCCAAAGUGAUUGGCAGCCGGCGUACUGGUCCCGGAGCGCAGCACAUGUCGCGCAAACGAGUGCCUUGGUACGGCGGCGUCCAUAAGCCCCUCUCUCACGCUCUUGACCUCGGAUCAGGUAGGGAUACCCGCUGAACUUAAGC